CCUACGUGUGUCAUCAUUUCUUCCUCUUUCUCCCUUUUCUCUCGCCUGCCCCCGCCACGUAGCGUGAAGGAUGACUUCCCUACGGGUUUUCAACUUCUUUUAUAAAGGAAUAAAGUGAGGCACGUGUGCCUUUUUGUAUGUAUUUUAUGAAUAAGGCUCGGCUAACUCCGUGCCAGCAGCCGGGGUAAUACGGAGUAUCCGAGCGUUAUCCGGAUUUAUUGGGUGUAAAGGGAGCGUAGAUGGGUUGUUAAGUCAGUUGUGAAAGUUUGCGGCUCAACCGUAAAAUUGCAAUUGAUACUGGAAGGCUUGAGUACAGUUGAGGUAGGCGGAAUUCGUGGUGUAGCGGUGAAAUGCUUAGAUAUCACGAAGAACUCCAAUGGCGAAGGCAGCUUACUAAACUGCAACUGACAUUGAUGCUCGAAAGUGUGGGUAUCAAACAGGAUUAGAUACCCCGGUAGUC
This 460-nucleotide ribosomal RNA is filed under the name uncultured bacterium. Its description in RNAcentral is "partial 16S ribosomal RNA". It matches the Rfam family "Bacterial small subunit ribosomal RNA", at positions 338 to 795 of the family's 1533-position model. The record is from RNAcentral.